CUCUCGGAUCCAGAAAGCGUCGCUGGCUUGUGAUGAGCAGCUGAAGAGCUCCUCGCUCUCAAACUCACCCUCUGCACCAACACGCUCUCCUGCUGUCUGUCAGCAAAUAAUCAGCGGGUGACAGCCUUAUAAUUCUGCAGGGACAACGAGAUUCCGCUUCACAAUCGGAGUCACGGGCGCGUGUGAAUAUUGCAUCACCAGCGCUGCGCUGCUGCGGCUUCACGGAGUGAAAGAGAUUCCCGGGAUUUACUCCCUUCUGCAGGCCAUCGCCGCGGAACCACACGCUGUGUUGUUGUUUUUUUAGUGUUAAACCGACUUACGUAACAAACAAGCCUUCCUCGCUUUCUCCUACCACUGUCCAGCUUUCGCUGUCCUCAUCCGACGCAGGCCAAAAAAAACUGGCAAAAUGUCAAAACAUUUGUCUUCGUGAGGUUGACACUGUCCCUGCAGUGCUGUCAAAUCCCACCUUAAGAGCUCCAAUGCACCAAAGGGUAUCGAGUCCCCCGAGUAGUUAGAAACCAGGAGGUUCGUGUGGAAGAUCGGGUCCGGUUUUCUGAGGAAACAUUUUAUCCGCAAAUCCACACAAGAUUUCUCUCCUAAAACCACUGAAGCAUCACGUUCUGGAAAAUGAGUGCCACAAACUUUUAGCCUGACAGGCGUUGAUGAGCGGACGCACAGAGGGGCGUGCGGCAGUGACGGAUGUGUGUUUAAUUCGGCAUCCCGACUCCUCAUUUAACUCAAAGGUUGACUAUUGAUGACGGGGGUCGAUCACACCCGAGGUCCAGGUCAAGCUUUUGGCUCAUUAUUUGGGUUUUCCGACCCCGUAUCUUCACUUUUUACGCCUCGCCCUCGCUGCUCUCAUCUGUACUCUAACAAGCUAAAGAUGGACGCGAGGAGGCAUUUAGCAGGUCACGGGACGGUUUUGUUCCUGCGGAGGGGGUGGAGACCAAAAACGGAGCUAAUAGAAAUAUGAUUUGUAAUUUGGUGUUAUUCAAAGACUAAAUAUAUUGA
This is a long non-coding RNA of Pungitius pungitius (ninespine stickleback), 1011 nucleotides long. RefSeq lists it as uncharacterized. NCBI's taxonomy places the organism in Eukaryota, Metazoa, Chordata, Actinopteri, Perciformes, Gasterosteidae. The record is from RefSeq and is a predicted model, not a curated record. The transcript has 3 exons.